This 67-nucleotide transfer RNA is filed under the name Curculionoidea sp. 24 KM-2017. Its description in RNAcentral is "tRNA-Leu". The record is from RNAcentral. Lineage: Eukaryota; Metazoa; Arthropoda; Insecta; Coleoptera.
GUUAUUUUGGCAGAUUAGUGCUGGAGACUUAGAAUCUUUAUAUGUAAAAUUUUAAUUACAGGUAAUA